GAUGAACGCUGGCGGCGUGCCUAAUACAUGCAAGUCGAGCGAACAGACGAGGAGCUUGCUCCUCUGACGUUAGCGGCGGACGGGUGAGUAACACGUGGAUAACCUACCUAUAAGACUGGGAUAACUUCGGGAAACCGGAGCUAAUACCGGAUAAUAUAUUGAACCGCAUGGUUCAAUAGUGAAAGACGGUUUUGCUGUCACUUAUAGAUGGAUCCGCGCCGCAUUAGCUAGUUGGUAAGGUAACGGCUUACCAAGGCAACGAUGCGUAGCCGACCUGAGAGGGUGAUCGGCCACACUGGAACGGAGACACGGUCCAGACUCCUACGGGAGGCAGCAGUAGGGAAUCGUCCGCAAAGGGCGAAAGCCUGACGGAGCAACGCCGCGUGAGUGAUGAAGGUCUUCGGAUCGUAAAACUCUGUUAUUAGGGAAGAACAAAUGUGUAAGUAACUAUGCCCGUCUUGACGGUACCUAAUCAGAAAGCCACGGCUAACUACGUG
This 497-nucleotide ribosomal RNA is filed under the name uncultured bacterium. RNAcentral describes it as "partial 16S ribosomal RNA". It matches the Rfam family "Bacterial small subunit ribosomal RNA", at positions 28 to 507 of the family's 1533-position model. The record is from RNAcentral.